AGGACGAACGCUGGCGGCGUGCUUAACACAUGCAAGUCGAGCGGAAAGGCCCUUCGGGGUACUCGAGCGGCGAACGGGUGAGUAACACGUGAGCAAUCUGCCUUUAGCUCUGGGAUAGCUCCGGGAAAACCGGGAUUAAUACCGGAUAAGACCACUUUAGACAUCUGUUGUGGUGGAAAGAAUUUCGGCUAGAGAUGAGCUCGCGGCCUAUCAGCUUGUUGGUGGGGUAACGGCCCACCAAGGCGACGACGGGUAGCCGGCCUGAGAGGGCGACCGGCCACACUGGGACUGAGACACGGCCCAGACUCCUACGGGAGGCAGCAGUGGGGAAUAUUGCGCAAUGGGCGAAAGCCUGACGCAGCGACGCCGCGUGGGGGAUGAAGGCCUUCGGGUUGUAAACCCCUUUCAGCAGGGACGAAGCGAAAGUGACGGUACCUGCAGAAGAAGCGCCGGCUAACUACGUGCCAGCAGCCGC
RNAcentral lists this ribosomal RNA (475 nucleotides) under uncultured bacterium. RNAcentral describes it as "SSU rRNA". It matches the Rfam family "Bacterial small subunit ribosomal RNA", at positions 26 to 518 of the family's 1533-position model. The record is from RNAcentral.